Long non-coding RNA from Daphnia magna, 613 nucleotides. RefSeq lists it as uncharacterized. The record is from RefSeq and is a predicted model, not a curated record. Lineage: Eukaryota; Metazoa; Arthropoda; Branchiopoda; Diplostraca; Daphniidae. The transcript is spliced from 2 exons.
GGCAGAGACGAUGAGCUAUGGGGUAAAAGUUUUCUGACCGACUUACCCUACCACGUUAAAAAGCUAACAAUACAAUUGGUGGUCAACACACUUCAAAUCGAUUUGAAAAACUGAUAUACAAUUGAUCCUAUGGGACUACUUUGUCGGAAACUCCUGCAUUCACUUUUGGUUCAAGGGACAUGAUUUCCCCUGUGGAAAAAGUUUGCCUUCUUUUCACUGCUUCAAAAAGUUCGUGAAUUUUAUUGGAAUAGGAAACUUGAAAUCGCUCCUGAUUCUUCAAUGUGUCAACCCAAAGGGCAUCGAUCGCUGACACGUCUUUUGCCAAUAUUUCAGUUUGAAGGAUAACUGCCUGCGCCAUUCUUUAAGUAAAGUUCAAAUAUUAUCAUUCUCCACACAAACAACGAAGAGAACAAGAGAAUGCCAUACUUAUACCAAUCAGCAAGCAAAUCAGCGGUAUUUGUCACCACAGGAACGCAUUCAGCCGUAAAUAGCGAUUCAAGACUUUUGAAUGUUUCUGUCAUUUUAAUACGUUCUAACAAAUGAAACUGCUCAUCAUUGUAUGUUAAAACUGUAAAAGAAAUAAUAGAAUAGAAAAGAGUUAGCAACAUGGUAA